Vigna radiata var. radiata (mung bean) is the source of this 4901-nucleotide RNA transcript. RefSeq lists it as uncharacterized. Lineage: Eukaryota; Viridiplantae; Streptophyta; Magnoliopsida; Fabales; Fabaceae. The record is from RefSeq and is a predicted model, not a curated record. The transcript is spliced from 8 exons.
GCCACGUUGGGGUUUCUAUGCUGCCGCUGAUUGAAAUAGGCUGCCUGAUGCCAUGCAAUGGGCUGGAUCAAAUUGAGUAGAACGCAGCGUUUAAGUGUGUUUCUACUGAUGCCUUCGCAAAGGUCCUGUGUGUGCACAUUCAUUUGGAAAAGGGGCUCGAGAUAUUUACAAGUGAGAAGGAGAGAAAAUACCCCUCGGGCUAGGGCUUGUGCGAGAGAGUGAAGAAGAGCAACUUGCUUCAGCUGACCGAAAGAAAGAUGACCCUGGACCGAGGAAGAAGCACACGACCCUGUCAUGAGCUGACCGGUGAAGAAGAGUAGGUGACCGGAGCUGCCACGUCAGAUGAAGCACAAAGCGUCACGAGCAAGUGGGGGAAACUGAGUUUGUUGGCUUUGAUGCGACUAAAAGCGAGUUUAACAAUCUCACACUUCAAUUUGGAGAAAAACUCUUGUGCGUACAUUCACUUUGGCAGAAAGAGCACACUCAUUCAGAAAAGAGAAGAGCCAACCCCAAGUUAGGACUUCAAGCGAGAGAGCUGAAGACUGGAGAAUGUGCUGACCAGAGAAGAAUAAGCCAAGUUUAAGUGAUCGGACCCUCACCAGUAGAGGUUGAAAAUGAUCGGAGAUUGAGCUCACAAAGAAAGAACGAAAAUCGUUCGAUGGGAAGCACAAAGCGUCCAAGCUGCCAAGGUUCCCCUUUCCCUUUUUCUCUCUAUCUUUCACCCUAUAAAAAGAGGUUUCUGUAAUUAGAACGAGUGUGAUGGGUGGUGGGUGUCAGACACCAUUCUUAGGUUUACGGCAGUGGGUGUUAGACCCAGGGUUUUAAUUUUCGUCUAGUUUCAUUCUCAUAGUGUAGAUUCCGGUAGAUCAAGCAAUCGCGAUAGUGACAACCCAUGAUCGUCUCGACUUUGCUUCUACGGUGGAUUUCUUUUUGUUUGCUUGUUAUAAUAGGCCAUGACACUAAAUGGAGUGUCAAGUGUGAUAAACUUAUUUGUAGUUGAUUAUGACGAAACUACUCUUAAUUUCUUCAAGACCUACUCCAACCUCUUUUUUUCGCUUUUAUCGUGACCGAAUGCUUCUCUUUGAAGUUACAACAUUCAAUGAUGAAAUGCAAUUUAUAAUGCUUUUAAAAGAUAAGCCAAAUGUUGACCUCAUCAUAUUGGAGACCAAUUUGGAAAUGAACCCUUUGGCAAUGUUUUCUGGCCUCGAUGUAUUAAAGCGUGCUAAAGAAUGCAUGGAUAUUCCUGUUGUCAUGAUGUCCCACAGUUAUGAUUGGUCGGAUCAGUGUAAGGCUUAUGACUUGGGUGCACAAUAUUAUUGGCACAAACUUAUUAAUGAGGCUAAACUAAAAAGCAUGAUUAUUGUCCUAGUUUCUCGUGAAUCAGCAAUGGAGAAAGUUAAAUCUGUAAGGCAACGAGUAACAUGGACAACAGUUAUGCAUAAUGCAUUUCUAGAAGCCAUCAAUAUACUAGGAGGGUUAGCAAAUGCUCAGCCAAAAAAUACUAGAAGUUUUGAAAAUGCCUAAUAUAGAGAUUAGGUAGGUAAGAAAUCACUUACAGUCUCAAAAGAAAACGGAAACAGCUACAGGAGCAGCAGCAGGAGAACAUUGUCCAGAGAAGAGGGAAGGUUCAUGCAAAAGAAUUCAAUGUACACCUGCCUCACCUAAGGAAGCAUAAGCAUGGACCUUCCCUUCAAUGUUUCAGUGCCUGCUCUUGUUCUUGUUGUUGCUCAUGCGGCUUGCUGCUGCUACUCGUGUUCCUGCUGCUCCUGUUCUUGUUGUUGCUCCUGUAGCUUUUUCUUCUUUUAUGAGACUGUAAGUGAUUUCUUAUAUUCCUAAUCUCUAUAUUAGGCAUUUUCAAAACUUUUAGUAUUUUUUUUGGCUGAGCAUUUGCUAAUCCUCCUAGUAUAUUAAUGGCUUCUAGAAAUGCAUUAUGCAUAUCUGUUGUCCAUGUUACUCGUUGCCUUACAGAUUUGGCUUUCUCCAUUGCUGAUUCAUGAGAAACUAGACAAUAAUCAUGCUUUUUAGUUUAGGCUCAUCAAUAGGUUUGUGCCAAUGGUAUUGUGCACCCAAGUCAUAAGCCUUACGUUGAUCCGACCAAUCAUAAUUGUGGGACAUCAUUACAACAGGAACAUCCAUGUAUUAUUUAACACGCUUUAAUACAUCGAGGUCAGAAAACAUUGCCAAAGGGUUCAUAUCCAAAUUGGUCUCCAGUACGAUGAGGUCAACCUUUGGCUUAUUUUUUAAAAGCAUUACAAAUUGUGAUUCAUCGUUGAAUGUUGUAACUUCAAAGUGAAGCCUUCGGUCACGAGAAAAGAGGUUGGAGUAGGUCUUGAUGAAAUGAAGAGUAGUUUCGUCAUAAUCAAUUACAAAUAAGUUGAUCACACUUGACACUCCAUUUAGUGCCAUGACCUAUGAUAACGAGCAAACAAAAUGAAAUUCACUGUAGAAGCUAAGUCGAGACGAUCACGGACUGUCACCACCGUGAUUGCUCGAUCAACCUCCAAGAGAAUGAAACUAGACAAAAAUGAAAAACAUGGGUAGCGUCUGUCACCCAUUAUUGUAAAUCUAAAGAUGGUGUUUGUCACACUCGUUCUAAUUACAGACAUGACUACAAAAUUGGUCAUAGAUAGUGCUAUCUAUGAGUAUGCGGAACAAUAGAUAGUGUUUAUUUAAAAAAACACUAUCUAUACGCAUGACAAUAGAUAGUGUUUUUUUAAAAAAGUGCUAUCUAUAAAUAAUUAAUAUUACUUUUUUAAUUUAUAAUUUGAAAUAAAUGAAUAAGUAUUGCUUUUUAAAAAGAGCAGUAUCUAUUCGAUUAUAAUAGAAUUCGCUUUUUUAAACAAGCGCCAGUGGCUCGAAGCUUAGUUCUCAUUUCAUCUUCUUUUUCUUAUUUGUCCUAUGUGCUCAAAACUGGUCAUAAAUAGCGCUUUUUAAAAUAAGCGCUAUCUAUGAGUGUGCGGAACAAUCGAUAGUGUUUAUUUAAAAAAACGCUAUCUAUACGCAUGACAAUAGAUAGCGCUUUUUUAAAAAGCGCUAUCUAUGAAUAAUUUAUAUUACUUUUUUAAUUUAUAAUUUGCAAUAAAUGAAUAGAUAAUGCAUUUUUAAAAGAGCGGUAUCUAUUCUAAUAUAAUAGAAUUCGCUUUUUUAAACAAGCGCCACUUUUUAUGGCUCAAAGCUUAGUUCUCAUUUCAUCUUCGUUUUUCUUAUUUUCCCUAUGUGCACAAAAUUGGUCAUAGAUAGCGCUUUUUUAAAUAAGCAAUAUCUAUGAGUGUGCGGAACAAUAGAUAUCACUUAUUUAAAAAAACGCUAUCUAUACGCAUGACAAUAGAUAGCGCGCUUUUUUAAAAAAGCACUAUCUAUAAAUAAUUUAUAUUACUUUUUUAAUUUAUAAUUUGAAAUAAAUAAUGCUUUUUUAAAAGAGCGGUAUCUAUUCUAGUAUAAUAGAAUUCGCUUUUUUAAGCAUGCGCCACUUCUUAUGGCUAGAAGCUUAGUUCUCAUUUCAUCUUCGUUUUUCUUAUUUUCCCUAUGUGCAUCAAGCAAUCCCCUUUGUUUUAAUUUCCCCUCAAAGUUUCUCAUUUCUCUUUUAUUCUUAUUUUCUCUUCUUCUUGUGAUUCCAUUUGUGUAUCACUCCCAUGGGUUUUCACUCCCGCACUCCCUGCCACCAUUAGUGGUUAAAAAACCCUAGGGUUUUAGGAAGAAGAGUGACGAGUGUGUGGAGGAAAAGAAUGAGUUUGGUUGCAGGCUCGUACAAGAAAUUUAUCUGGGUCUCAUCCUAAAGCCUCAAUCUCACCUUUUUUCUCCUAUCCUUCCCACCUCUCUCCUGUAUCAAAGUUGUCGUCGUCUCAAGCUCCAUCGUCGCUUCUGACGGCAAUGACGACACCAUCCCUUCUACGACCUCUCCGUCGCAUCCUCCCUCGCUUCCCUCCACCAACACUCUGCUUCUGUCACUGCCCUCUCCUUCUACAUCCCUCCCAAUCUCCCCUUCCCUCGCAAUCUCAUCUCUACCGAUGUCGCUGGCUCCCUUGCCAAUUUUGACGCAGACGGCUUCGUCCAUCUUACGAUGCUCUCCGUCCACUGCAACGCCGCCAUCAACUACCUCGCCUUGCACUAGUUCGGUGAGUGCGCACUGCCUUGUUGUUGUCAACCUCGUUCGCGGCUGCCGCAACUGCUGCUUGCACCUCAACAAGGAAGCUACUCUGGUCAAGUUCAAUGCGUCCAGCAACCACUUUUUAUGGCCGAGGACGAGAGGGUUUUGUCCACCAGACUGAGGAUGCAUGCAUAUUGUUCGAAUUGGAAUGCUCCAAGCCCGUUCUCUGCAUUGCUCUUGCUAGGUCAUUGCAUGGAUGCCUUUUCCCCGGGUCGUCGUAUAAUACUUUCAGAUCCUAUACAAAUCCUCAUUGUUUUGAGCUUGAUAAUGUCAGGUUUCUUGGGACAUCCGGUCAAAUGUAGAUGAUCUUGACAAAUAUUCAGAUGCAAAAGAUUUUUCAGAAUCUCAACGUGUCCUCUGCUUCCUUCAAUUUGCUCCUUAUCUGGCUGUAGUUAUUUCAAAUGCUUCUAGUUGAAAUUGAAGUUUAUUGAUUGGUACUUGAAGAUUGGGUUUGUAUCUGCUUUGGUUGGGGCUUCUAUGGAGGUGUUCAUGAUCAAAGAUGGCUUCUGUAUGAAAAAGUAACUCUGUUUUGGAGUCAGAAAAACGUGCCUGGGAGAAUUUCCCGUAUCAUAAAGGGAUCAGAAGGGCAGUUGGUGAGACUCACAUGUGUUCCUAAAUUCAGCGAAACUGGAGUUGCUGUUAUGGUGAGCUCCAAAUCGUGCACACUUCAUUUUAAUGGCCUUUUUAUACUUGUAUAAAUAUAUUAUUCCAUUAGCAUAUCAAUAACAUGUCUCUGGUUUGUUGUUUAAGGUAA